This 253-nucleotide ribosomal RNA is filed under the name uncultured bacterium. Its description in RNAcentral is "partial 16S ribosomal RNA". It matches the Rfam family "Bacterial small subunit ribosomal RNA", at positions 524 to 776 of the family's 1533-position model. The record is from RNAcentral.
UACGGGGGGAGCAAGCGUUGUUCGGAUUUACUGGGCGUAAAGGGCGCGUAGGCGGCUUUUCAAGUCGGGCGUGAAAUCUCCGGGCUCAACCCGGAAGGGUCGUUCGAUACUGUUGAGCUAGAGUGUGGAAGAGGCAACUAGAAUUCCGUGUGUAGCGGUGAAAUGCGUAGAUAUACGGAGGAAUACCUGAGGCGAAGGCGGGUUGCUGGGCCAACACUGACGCUGAGGCGCGAAAGCCAGGGGAGCAAACGGG